RNAcentral lists this long non-coding RNA (750 nucleotides) under Homo sapiens (human). RNAcentral's name for it is "PREDICTED lncRNA (TCONS_00068008)". The record is from RNAcentral. Lineage: Eukaryota; Metazoa; Chordata; Mammalia; Primates; Hominidae.
GAGGCGGAGACACAAGGCUCCGUUCCACUGGGCACGCCAGCGGGUAGGGGUGGGGGCGGGGAGGUGCGCGCGCAGCGUGGGAGGAGGCCAACUCUCGGGGCGCUCCCUAGCCCUGGGUGGGUGGAGCGGGGGAAGCGGAGUACGUUGGACCCGGCUCCGCCCUACCCCACGGGGCCGCCUGGAGAGGUGCUGGGAGCUGGGUGGAGCUUAGAGGAAUUAAACUUUGGCCCUGCGCCUCGUCCAGCCUAGGUUCCACCCUUUUCUGGGAACGUGAGUAUCAACCAAGGCUGGAGUGCAGUGGCACCAUCUCGGCUCACUGCAACCUCUGGCUCCCAGGUUCAAGCGAUUCUCCUGCCUCAGCCCCCUGAGUAGCUGGGAUUACAGGCACGCGCCACCACUCCCAGAUGGAGUUUUGCUCUUGUUGCCCAGGCUGGAGUGCAAUGGCAAGAUCUCAGCUCACCACAACCUCUGCCUUCUUUUUUCUUCUGUUUUUAAAACUUGUGGUAAAAUCUAGAUAACAAAAAGUUUGCCAUUUUAACCAUUUUUAAGUGGACAGUUCAGUGGCAUUAGUUACAUUCCCAAUGUUGUGUAACCACCACUAUUAUCCAUUUCCAGAAGGUUUUCAUCACCCGAAACAGAAACUCUGUACCCAUUAAAUAGUAACUCCCCAUUCUACCCUUCUCUCCCUCCAUAACCUCUGUUUUACCUUCUGCAUCCAUCAAGUUGCCUGUUAUAGAUAAUUCACAUAGA